Felis catus (domestic cat) is the source of this 988-nucleotide long non-coding RNA. RefSeq lists it as uncharacterized. NCBI's taxonomy places the organism in Eukaryota, Metazoa, Chordata, Mammalia, Carnivora, Felidae. The record is from RefSeq and is a predicted model, not a curated record. The transcript is spliced from 2 exons.
GUCGGAGGAGAGGUAAUCCGGAAGCGGGAACCUCGCUCCAGGCAAAUUCAGAUACCACCCCCCUCUUCCUCGCAAAUGGCAGGUGCCCAAAGCCUCGGAGGUCAGGCUCAUACUUGCCCACGCCUACCUUCCUGGCUCGGACUCACCGGCGCCACCCCUCCUACCCCGGGAGUAUCCAGGCCCCCGCAUACUCUCGAGGAGUUUGCAGCGCUCUGGCUGCGCCCUGCGUGGGAAGCCCGUGCUAACACCGAAGAAAGAAAAACCCUCGGUCCCCUUGAAGCUAGUUGAGGGUUUGCUUGGCAGGACUCCAUGCCAUAAGCUGGGGCAGGAAGACUGCGGGCUGGAGUGGCCGACUCCAUGACCUUCUCCUGCAGCCUCUGCCACCCCCUGCGCAGUAGAGCACCUGUGCAAUUUUCAGAAUGCUCUUGGUCCCCUGGACUCCAGCCUUAGGGUGUUCAUCUGGUCUUCAACAAAACAUAGGGCGAAACUUUAGUCAUACCAACACUCGGAGGAUGCACUGUGGCAGGGGAUCCGCAAGGUCAAAACUCCCUGUGAACACUAUGACGUCAUCUGCCCUUUUGGCUCCCCUCUCACCAGCACACAUAGGAGCUUUUCAGAGGGUAAGUGACAUGUGGUGUCAUUAUCUCUCUGACAGCUAAUGGAAACGUGGGUUCUUCAGUAUUAAAAGUCUCUUUAAAUUUUGAAUAUGAUACACAUUGGUAGAUAUUAUCACAUUAGGAUUUUUUAGAAUUUUAGGAUCCUCAACAUCAAGUACGAAAGGAGUCCUCAAAUCAAAACAGUGGAGAGCUGGUGUUAGCCAAGAAAAGGGAUGUAUCCAAUUAAACUCUUUGUAAUGCUUUUAUCUUUUAGAAUUUCUAAAUACUUAUUCAAUGAGAGCUUUUAGAAUUAGACCUAUAUUAUUAUCCUACAUCACUUUUGUGUGUAAAAAGGAAAACAUAAGCAAAAUAAACUUACGGAGUUCCUGUAA